This 2835-nucleotide long non-coding RNA is filed under the name Mus caroli (Ryukyu mouse). RNAcentral describes it as "lncRNA (MGP_CAROLIEiJ_G0004897.1)". Lineage: Eukaryota; Metazoa; Chordata; Mammalia; Rodentia; Muridae. The record is from RNAcentral.
GGUAAGCUGCGAUCUGGAGCUGGGGCGGGGACUACGCCACUAGCGGAGCGGCUCGGGCCACAGCGGCCGGCGGACCGGCCAUGUGCUAAAGUUUCUGGGGCUCGGCUGCCCGGCGGCCACCCUCCGAGAUCUUCCCGCCGAGCCCAGGCGCGGGGCAUGAGGAGCCCCUGGGUGUCGCCUGCAGACAACCCAGCCUCGCGCACACCUCGCCAGUCGCUGACAGGGACAUGAACAGCAUGAUUGGGUUCCGGUGUCCAGCGGCCAGCCUCAGCCGGAGGCGGCCAGUGGUUCUGCGCUGCUUGGGAGAAUGAGGCAGGAACCCACGGCAACCUCUCUCUCCUCCUUCUCCUCGCCUUCCUCUGGCUCCCGCUCCCCGGACCCGGGCCGGGCUGUGGCUCUGCUGCGUGCCCUGCGCGCCCCCCACCUGCCUCCGGAUGCUCUUCUCGGUUAGCCUGGAGAGGAAGAUAAAGACAUUUGCAACCAAGAUGGUAAUCACGAGUGGAAACGACGAAGACCGGGGAGGCCAAGAGAAAGAGAGCAAAGAGGAGAGCGUGUUGGCCAUGCUGGGCAUCAUCGGGACCAUCCUGAACCUGAUCGUUAUCAUCUUUGUAUACAUAUAUACCACUCUAUGAAAGGCCCCACUCAGACCUCGGCGGCCUCAGGAUGGCCACGAGACAAGGGUCCUGUGCAUCCGUAUAUCAGCGACCACACACUGUGGGGGGGCCAGCAGGUUUGAAGACCACACAAUGCUCCAUCAAUGCACCUUCGAACUUUCUGACGGGUCACCUGAUGAACCUGUCCUUCUGUGAGGAGCAGACACUCUGAAGCACAAUGAAUCCAGUGGGACUCCUUCAGGCCACAAGGAACUCCCACAGGGGACCCAGCAGGAUGCUGGAAAGGCCAGCCUUCUGCACCAGUGGUGAGCACAAGGGUGAGGAAGUGCUUCACCCUGGAGUGCUGACCACAUCUCACACUGGAAAGAGGAUGCGUGGGGGAGUCGCAGCUCCGCUGCUCUCCUCCCAGGACUGGCAAGAUAAAUAAGCUCUAGCAUGAACCAAAUAUUUGGAGAAGCACUUCUGGACCCAUAGCUCUUCUUGGUUUUAAUCGCUUUUGCUCCAUCAGCUGCAAGAUGUUUUUGUCUGUAGUCAUCCAGUUGUCUCAGCUCAUCUCAAGCCUUGUCCCUCUGGUUCUUCUUCCUUCCCAUCCCUGCCCCUCCCUUCUCUCCUCUCUCUUUCCCCUGUCUCUCCCUUCCAUCUCUUAAUUCCCCUAUCCUUCCCCACCUCCCCCCCCCCAUCUCCUCUCUCCCCUCCUCCUCACCUCUUGUCUAGAGGACAUUUUCCCAUAAUACCAGCUGUGGUCUUGGCUGGUGUGUGCUUCAAGAUUGUUGAGCAGCUUUUCAUUGUUCUGUCAGAGAUAUAAAACGAUUGUGGGCAUGCAGACCUUAGAUGCACCCUGUCUUUAUUGAGAAUUAUGCAUGAACAAGGGCUGAGUGGCAGGCCAGCGUCUCCAGUUUUUAAAGGGACUACCAAGGAGGAAGAUGAGCAGCCCUGCCUGCAGGCCACCCUUGGGACAGAGCAGUCACCAGCUCAAGUGCAGUAUUGCUCAUUUGCUCCUGUAACCAUCCGAUUAUCAGAUUCUGAUUUUUUAUUUAUUUAUUUAUUUAUUUUUGUGACCGUGAGAGAUGGGAACGGGGCGAGCUCAAUGUUCAGUGCACCAGCCACCCCUUCCUUGGUGAGCUGCCUGGGGAGGUGGGGGGUGGGGUGGGAUCUCUUCAGAAGUCAGUGGGAUAUGAGGGAAGUGAGACCUCCCCGCUGUGAGAGUGCACACACAGUUCCUGCUGUAAAAACACUGCUGGGACAAGUGACCCUUCAAGGGCAUUGGGAGGGGACUUAAUGGUCUCUGUUAAGGAGCCCUGCACAUUUUAAAGCUGUUUUUCCACCCACACAAAGCUCUUUUUUUUCUCUGAAGGGAUGGUUGAAUAAAUACAAGUUUGCCCUGCUCUCUGGCUCCGUAACACAGCCCCAACCUGGAUGCAGUGUACAGCUUUAAGGAGAGGGUCCGUAUUCAUUCUGCCAAGGGCAGAAGUGGCAGCACCCCCCCCCCUUUGGAUUCAGAUGACACUAAGGAGGGGCAUGUCUCUGCUUGCCCCCUUCCUUAAAUGGCACCAUGAAGGAGUCAUUUCUUGGGCUCCACUAAGGGACCAGUCUCUUUUAUAAAUCAAAUACCCAUGAGCACCUGGCUCUGCCCAGAGAUGUCUCCUCUUCCCCACCAGAAGGACGUAUACUUUGUACACAAGUAGCCAGGCUCUCUUAGUUGCUGGUGAGAGGGAGAGUCUUUAUCUCUCACCUGUGAGGUGGAAGGAAGAAGAAAGGACAGCUCAGACCAGCAAUCUUCCCUGAGGUUUCCUGGCACCCAAUGGAGUCAGAUUCUAGCCUCACCUGCCCAGUUCCUUAUCCCAGCGAGGACUUGGAUGCUGUUGUGGGAUGCUGAUGAGGAUGGUGACUGUGGCUGGAAAGCCUGUCGCUUUGCUGAGGAUCAACCCAGCACACACACACACACGCACACACACACACACACACACCACACAACAGGAAACAACCUUAGAACUCCUUGGACACUGACACAAAUAAAAGACAGGGGAAAGGCUGGUUAGGAAGAUGGGAGGCACCCCGGAGCGAGCGCUACCUACCAGGCUGUGUGAUUCUUGACAAACUGUAAUUCUGCAAAGUGGACUAAACAAACAAUAAAGGUGCAGUGGGGGAAACUAUUGGUGUCGCCAACUUCCUCAUGAGCCUGUGUGUAAUUGUUUGAUUUAAUAAAACUUGACCGUGGCUG